GUCCACGCCGUAAACGAUGGAUACUAGCUGUUUGGUAGCAAUACUGAGUGGCUAAGCGAAAGUGAUAAGUAUCCCACCUGGGGAGUACGAACGCAAGUUUGAAACUCAAAGGAAUUGACGGGGGCCCCGCACAAGCGGUGGAGCAUGUGGUUUAAUUCGAUGAACGCGAGGAACCUUACCAGGGCUUAAAUGUAGGUUGACAGGCUUGGAAACAGGUUUUUCUUCGGACAACUUACAAGGUGCUGCAUGGUUGUCGU
This 257-nucleotide ribosomal RNA is filed under the name uncultured bacterium. RNAcentral describes it as "partial 16S ribosomal RNA". It matches the Rfam family "Bacterial small subunit ribosomal RNA", at positions 793 to 1055 of the family's 1533-position model. The record is from RNAcentral.